This 341-nucleotide ribosomal RNA is filed under the name Acropyga sp. AAP2657. RNAcentral's name for it is "partial 28S ribosomal RNA". It matches the Rfam family "Eukaryotic large subunit ribosomal RNA", at positions 329 to 493 of the family's 3401-position model. Lineage: Eukaryota; Metazoa; Arthropoda; Insecta; Hymenoptera; Formicidae. The record is from RNAcentral.
CGAGACCGAUAGCGAACAAGUACCGUGAGUGAAAGUUGAAAAGAACUUUGAAGAGAGAGUUCAAGAGUACGUGAAACCGUUCAGGGGUAAACCUAAGAAACCCAAAAGAUCGAACGGGGAGAUUCAUCGUCAGCGGCGCUGGCUUCGCGUCGGUGGGCGAUGUCCCGCGGAGUCCUCGCGGCUCGCGCGCGGGCACGCUACCGUGCGCCGAUGUCCGGCUGUCGUCGUCGUGCACUUCUCCCCAAGUAGAACGUCGCGACCCGGUAGAGGUCNGACUACGGCCCGGGUGCGGUGACUGUCGCGUCGCCGGUAAAACAGCACGCGACAAACCCUCGGCUCGU